Molecule: ribosomal RNA, 251 nt
Filed under: uncultured prokaryote
Description: partial 16S ribosomal RNA
Rfam family: Bacterial small subunit ribosomal RNA
Source: RNAcentral
UACGGAGGAUGCAAGCGUUAUCCGGAUUCAUUGGGUUUAAAGGGUGCGCAGGUUGUUUGAUAAGUCAGUGGUGAAAGUCUGUCGCUUAACGGUAGGAUUGCCAUUGAUACUGUUAGACUUGAAUAUGGAUGAGGUAGGCGGAAUGUGUAGUGUAGCGGUGAAAUGCAUAGAUAUUACACAGAACACCGAUUGCGAAGGCAGCUUACUAAUCCAUCAUUGACGCUGAGGCACGAAAGCGUGGGGAUCAAACA